Brassica napus (rape) is the source of this 142-nucleotide non-coding RNA. Lineage: Eukaryota; Viridiplantae; Streptophyta; Magnoliopsida; Brassicales; Brassicaceae. The record is from Rfam.
AGAAUAUAAGAACCAAUCUCUUAACUUUUAACUAAAAAAAGUAAGAACCGGUUUUUAAAUAUUAUUUAAUAUAAGAGAUAUUAUUUAAGAACCGGUUCUUACCUGUUUUAGUUAAAAGUUAAGAGACGGAUUCUUAUAUUCC